RNAcentral lists this ribosomal RNA (854 nucleotides) under uncultured organism. RNAcentral describes it as "bacterial SSU rRNA". It matches the Rfam family "Bacterial small subunit ribosomal RNA", at positions 31 to 859 of the family's 1533-position model. The record is from RNAcentral.
GAACGCUGGCGGCGUGCUUAAUACAUGCAAGUCGUGCGAGAAAGUCACCUUCGGGUGGUGAGUAAAGCGGCGAACGGGUGAGUAACACGUAAGAAACCUGCCCCUAAAUCCGGAAUAACAUUGCUAACGCGGUGCUAAUACCGGAUGUGGUCUCCAGUUUGCAUGAACAGGAGAUUAAAGGUGACCUCUACUUGUAAGUUAUCGUUUAGGGAUGGUCUUGCGGACCAUUAGCUUGUUGGCGGGGUAACGGCCCACCAAUGCUGCGAUGGUUAGCCGGCUUAAGAGGGUGAUCGGCCACAUUGGGACUGAGAUACGGCCCAGACUCCUACGGGAGGCAGCAGUAGGGAAUUUUGCGCAAUGGACGAAAGUCUGACGCAGCAACGCCGCGUGAGCGAUGAAGGUUUUCGGAUUGUAAAGCUCUGUUGAGUGGGAAGAAAACUCUCCGGGAUAAUACCCCGGAGACUUGACGGUACCACUCGAGGAAGCCCCGGCUAAAUACGUGCCAGCAGCCGCGGUAAUACGUAUGGGGCAAGCGUUGUUCGGAAUCACUGGGCGUAAAGGGAGUGUAGGCGGAAAGGUAAGUUAGAAGUGUAAUCCACGGGCUUAACCCGUGACUCGCUUUUAAUACUGCUUUUCUUGAGUAUGGGAGAGGGAGAUGGAAUUCCAGGUGUAGCGGUGGAAUGCGUAGAUAUCUGGAAGAACACCAGUAGCGAAGGCGGUCUCCUGGCCCAAUACUGACGCUGAGGCUCGAAAGCGUGGGGAGCGAACAGGAUUAGAUACCCUGGUAGUCCACGCCGUAAACGAUGGACACUAGAUGUUGGCCUCUUCGGGGGUCGGUGUCCGUAGCUAACGCG